GGAUUAGUGGCGAACGGGUGAGUAACACGUGGGCAAUCUGCCCUGCACUCUGGGACAAGCCCUGGAAACGGGGUCUAAUACCGGAUAUUGACCUUCACGGGCAUCUGUGAGGUUCGAAAGCUCCGGCGGUGCAGGAUGAGCCCGCGGCCUAUCAGCUUGUUGGUGAGGUAAUGGCUCACCAAGGCGACGACGGGUAGCCGGCCUGAGAGGGCGACCGGCCACACUGGGACUGAGACACGGCCCAGACUCCUACGGGAGGCAGCAGUGGGGAAUAUUGCACAAUGGGCGAAAGCCUGAUGCAGCGACGCCGCGUGAGGGAUGACGGCCUUCGGGUUGUAAACCUCUUUCAGCAGGGAAGAAGCGAAAGUGACGGUACCUGCAGAAGAAGCGCCGGCUAACUACGUGCCAGCAGCCGCGGUAAUACGUAGGGCGCAAGCGUUGUCCGGAAUUAUUGGGCGUAAAGAGCUCGUAGGCGGCUUGUCACGUCGGUUGUGAAAGCCCGGGGCUUAACCCCGGGUCUGCAGUCGAUACGGGCAGGCUAGAGUUCGGUAGGGGAGAUCGGAAUUCCUGGUGUAGCGGUGAAAUGCGCAGAUAUCAGGAGGAACACCGGUGGCGAAGGCGGAUCUCUGGGCCGAUACUGACGCUGAGGAGCGAAAGCGUGGGGAGCGAACAGGAUUAGAUACCCUGGUAGUCCACGCCGUAAACGGUGGGCACUAGGUGUGGG
Molecule: ribosomal RNA, 724 nt
Filed under: Actinomycetes bacterium
Lineage: Bacteria; Bacillati; Actinomycetota; Actinomycetes
Description: bacterial SSU rRNA
Rfam family: Bacterial small subunit ribosomal RNA
Source: RNAcentral